AUUGAACGCUGGCGGCAGGCCUAACACAUGCAAGUCGAGCGGAUGAAGGGAGCUUGCUCCUGGAUUCAGCGGCGGACGGGUGAGUAAUGCCUAGGAAUCUGCCUGGUAGUGGGGGAUAACGUCCGGAAACGGGCGCUAAUACCGCAUACGUCCUAAGGGAGAAAGUGGGGGAUCUUCGGACCUCACGCUAUCAGAUGAGCCUAGGUCGGAUUAGCUAGUUGGUGGGGUAAAGGCCUACCAAGGCGACGAUCCGUAACUGGUCUGAGAGGAUGAUCAGUCACACUGGAACUGAGACACGGUCCAGACUCCUACGGGAGGCAGCAGUGGGGAAUAUUGGACAAUGGGCGAAAGCCUGAUCCAGCCAUGCCGAGUGUGUGAAGAAGGUCUUCGGAUUGUAAAGCACUUUAAGUUGGGAGGAAGGGCAGUAAGUUAAUACCUUGCUGUUUUGACGUUACCAACAGAAUAAGCACCGGCUAACUUCGUG
Molecule: ribosomal RNA, 484 nt
Filed under: uncultured bacterium
Lineage: Bacteria
Description: partial 16S ribosomal RNA
Rfam family: Bacterial small subunit ribosomal RNA
Source: RNAcentral